UUGUUCUUCAGAGUUCUGAGUUUCAUUUGGAGGAUGCUUAAGAAUCUGCUUACUUGACCUGAGACCUUGGCCUUGGUGAAACUGUUCUUAAAUCUUUCCCUUUGAACUACCAUGUGGAUGGGUGAAAAAGGCUGACUCCUUUCUUGGAUUUUCUAAAGGGACUAGCCUCAGGAGAAGACUCCCCACUUGAGAGAGGCUUUGUGAUAGAAGCCCUUGCUUUAUUCAUCCCCGGGCCCUCAGUUCAAGGCUGAGGCCUCUCCACCUGAGGACUAAUUAGCCCUGCCUGGGUUGAACCAGGGGCCAGAGCAAAAUACUUAGUAAUGCAGUGGGUGACCUUGGUGUCUUCAAUGUCUUACAAUGUUCUAAGCACUCUAUAACACCUACUUCAGCUACCUUCAUGACUGUUGGAACAAAUUGUUCUCAUCAACCAAUUCUUUCAGGAGAAAUCUUUAUAUACUUGGGCUAGACAUCACCUUGGUUAAGCCCAUCUUCUGAGAUAAUUUUACCAGUGUGACCUCUGUGCAUGCUACAGCUUCUUGGGCGCCCAAGUGAGAGUUGGGACAACAAAGAGAGAUUCAGAAGGAGUUCCCUGAACAAACAGAUGAAGAAGCCCGCAGCUGGGACCCUGCAGUCUGAAUGGAUGGAUCAGAGCCCUCAUCACCUGUCUGAUGGGAUGUGCUGCUGGCUUGCUUUGUUUCUAUAGCAGUGUGAGAUGCAGCUGCUAACUGAUAACCUGUCCUGAGCCUGGGGUUUCACCUCAAAGCUGUCCCACAACAUGAUGAUUAACUAUGAGUGAUUUAACUAUAAUCAAGCAAGGCAAAGACCCAGGAAAACUCCAAGAGACUCAUGAUGAAAAAAAGGGUAUCCACCACCAUAAAAGGAAUAGAGUCCAGAUUUAAAUUAAAACAUAUCAUUCUUCACUUUAUUUCCUCCAUAAAUUUUUCUCUAGUGUAAGCAAUAUGUAUCUUAUUUUACAACAUGACAAACAUGGAAAUAUGAACUAUAUCAUGUUACCCAAAUUCUUGGGAAGUAAGAGAGAUGGAAGAGAGGGAAAGAACAUGAAUUGCAAAAUGUCAGAAAGUCAGUAUUAAAAAUUGUAUCUACAUGUAAUCUAGAAAAAAAUAAAUAUUUCAAAUUAAAAAAAAGAGAAAGUUAU
Molecule: long non-coding RNA, 1156 nt
Filed under: Monodelphis domestica (gray short-tailed opossum)
Lineage: Eukaryota; Metazoa; Chordata; Mammalia; Didelphimorphia; Didelphidae
Description: lncRNA (ENSMODG00000030831.2)
Source: RNAcentral